RNAcentral lists this long non-coding RNA (598 nucleotides) under Macaca mulatta (Rhesus monkey). RNAcentral describes it as "lncRNA (ENSMMUG00000048085.2)". Lineage: Eukaryota; Metazoa; Chordata; Mammalia; Primates; Cercopithecidae. The record is from RNAcentral.
AUUUAUGUUUUUCCAUAGAGCUGCUAAGAUGCUCAAAUGAGAUAUUUAUGAAAGUGCUUUGUAAACUGCACACUGUAAAAACAGGUUACCUGUUAUGUCUUAUCUUUGUAGAAAUAACAGCAAACAAGUACAAGAAAGAGAGAGAGAGAGACAGCAAGAAUUACAGCCUGUAUGGAAGACGACUCUAAAUAAUGAUGAUAAUAUUGGUGGAAUCAAAGCAUCUAGAAGACCAUGCAUUCCAUUUUAAAUCUAGUUGAGAUGGCAUAAUUCAUACCUCCUCAAAUUUGGACAAUUAUAAAUGACUCAACCAGCAGGUGCCAAAUUGCACCUAUACCCUGAGUAUACCUGAAGCAACCACUUAAACCCAAGCUAAUAGCCAGAUGUAUGCUCACUGAAUGGAUAACUUACCUAACCUUGAGAAGCUCCUUAAAGUACUCUCCUGAUCUUCUGGCAAAUAAUUCAGCAAACAUCUUUCGUUGCUUGAGAAUGCCCUGGGAGGCCUCCUCCUUAUCCUCAGUAAGCUUGUCAGUGUGUUUCUUCCAAGCACAUACAGCACUUUCCCAAAGAGAUCUAAUAAAAUAAAAACUUUCCUCUUCUC